Dama dama (fallow deer) is the source of this 72-nucleotide non-coding RNA. The record is from the annotation of a RefSeq genome assembly. Lineage: Eukaryota; Metazoa; Chordata; Mammalia; Artiodactyla; Cervidae.
UCUCUGGUGGUCCAGUGGCUAAGACGCCACGCUCCCAACAUGGGGGCCCAGGUUCAAUCCCUGGUCAGGGAA